AAAAUCUGCCCAAGGCUUUGAUUUGAAAUCAUCCACGUUACCUUCUUCUUUACCCCAUCUACUGCCUUUGUCUUCUUUAAAUUACCCACAACCCUACCCAUACACUUCACUACAGAUGAAUCUCAUCAUUUCCAUCUCAAUUAUAUUUCCCAAAAACAACUGUAAUUGUGUUCCAUUCCUUCCACAAAAAUAAAAGCAAACAAACUUCGCCCUUUUUCUUUACAGAAGCGCCUAAACAAGAGCAGCAUAAGCAGUAAAAAACAUUCACCUCAUCAAGGUUCUAUCGUCAUACUCAAUUUCGUACAAGACUUGUUCUAUAUUUUCACAACACCAACAUACAUAUUCAGUUCAUAUAUUACUUGCAGAUAGAACAGAAGCAGAGCUCAGCCCUCUUCAUCUUCUUCAUAAUCACACCACGGUACCCCCAAAGUUUCCAUCUUUACUUCAUUAUUCCCACACUAUUCUUUUCGUUCUGAUGAACUUUGAUGACACACGAAACCAACAAACAAGAAAUAUACGAAUAAAAUUCUGGUGAUUUAAAAUCAUCAUAGACAAUACCAUCAAACUUGUGCCUUGACAUUUACACUUUGAACUGGACUCUUGUGAAGGAAUUGAAGAAACACAGAGAAGAACGAACCCUUAAAAUUUUGAUAAAACUUCAGUCUUUACAGCUUCGAUCUUGCUGCGCUUGAUUCUUGUUGUGUGUGUUAGUAUGGCGUGAGUUCAAUCGGGGCUAGGAGGGGUUGAAGCAGGGAGAGCGGCGGCAGCGGCUGAUGGGCUGCUGCUGUUCGGACCGAAGGAGAAGGGGGCGACGGUGAAUCUCGCCGUUCGCCGUGAGAGAAAGAGGAGAGGCGGCGGCAAUUUUGACGGCCACAGGCUGUCCGGCGAGGGAGGAGGGAAGAAGGCGGCGAAAACGCCGCUAUGGUAGAAGGUGGCAGGCGGAUGAGUGAGAGGAAGAGAGAGAGAGUGGUUUUCUAAUUUGAGCCUUGAGAGAGAGAUUUUGGGUUUCUGUAUCUGGGGGUUUGAUCAAUUGGGGGAUGGAGAUUGAGAAAAGAGGCGGCGGAGCGGCAGCCGUGGAAGAGCGGCGGCGACCGCAGCUGUUUAUGGCGAGAGAAGGGAUAGAGACAGAGAGAGUAGGGCGAGAUGUUGAGAGGGAGAGUCGGCAGAUGCAGAUGCUGGUGAGGGUGAAGGUGAUGAGCGCCGGCGAAGCGCCGCCGGUCUUGCUGGAGGUGGACGGCGGCUUGGGAGAGAGAAAUGCGAUUUCUGUGAGAGAGAGAGAGAGACGCAUAUGAGAAUGAACAGGAGAGAGAAAAGUGGUUUGGGCUUGGUUUUAUUUCAGUUGGGCUCAUUCAAUUGGGUUUCAACAUAGUCUUUUAUUAGUGCUGGGUUGAUUUAAUUGCUGGGCUUAUUCUUUUUAAGUUGGCUCUUUUCUUAAUUGAAAUUUGAGCUUUAGUUAUAAUAUGUUUUUGCAAUAAAAUAUUUAAGCAUUUAAAUUGUUUUUAAGUUAAAAGUCAAGCAAGGGUAUUGUUGGUGCCCUUACCUGAAAAUUUGUUUUCAAGUUUAUUAAGUGAGUUUUAAAAUUCGGGCAUAGCGAAUCAGAACUUAGUAGCCUCGUUUUGCUAUUAUCUAAGGCUAGUAUCACGAGACCUAUUAAGAUUAGAUUAUCUUGUAGGCUCAAUUGACCAAGAGGAUUAGCAUUGCUUUUACGAGACGAGUUACGUUUGACUUCGGACUUUGUCCAAUCAAGGUUGAUCGGUUGGUGCAGACAGGGUUGAGCUGAGGCUAGGGUUCCACGCUGUCUUUUGCUUCCGCUAAUGACUAGCUUGUUAUCUUGUCUUUCAAUUCCCUAAACUAAGAACUUCUAUUAUAUGGUGCAAUAUUAUCUUGUUGAACUUAGACUUUUUAACUCAUAUUUCUAUUAAUAAAGUUAUUGUUGAUUAUGAUCA
Molecule: long non-coding RNA, 1946 nt
Organism: Salvia miltiorrhiza (redroot sage)
Lineage: Eukaryota; Viridiplantae; Streptophyta; Magnoliopsida; Lamiales; Lamiaceae
Exons: 2
Source: RefSeq, a predicted model, not a curated record